GUCCACGCCGUAAACGAUGGGUACUAGGUGCCUGGGGGAGCGACCCUCUGGGUGCCGGCGCUAACGCAGGAAGUACCCCGCCUGGGGAGUACGACCGCAAGGUUGAAACUCAAAGGAAUUGACGGGGGCCCGCACAAGCAGUGGAGCAUGUGGUUUAAUUCGACGCAACGCGAAGAACCUUACCUAGGCUUGACAUGCACGAGCAAGCUCUCAGAAACGAGGGCCCCUCUUCGGAGAUCGUGCACAGGUGCUGCAUGGCUGUCGU
RNAcentral lists this ribosomal RNA (265 nucleotides) under uncultured bacterium. RNAcentral's name for it is "partial 16S ribosomal RNA". It matches the Rfam family "Bacterial small subunit ribosomal RNA", at positions 793 to 1055 of the family's 1533-position model. The record is from RNAcentral.